RNAcentral lists this ribosomal RNA (391 nucleotides) under uncultured bacterium. RNAcentral describes it as "bacterial SSU rRNA". It matches the Rfam family "Bacterial small subunit ribosomal RNA", at positions 144 to 518 of the family's 1533-position model. The record is from RNAcentral.
CAGUCCCGGAAACGGGUGCUAAUACCGCAUAGGUUUUUCCUUGGGUCGCGAUGAUCGGGAAAGGAAAGACGGCCUUUGUGCUGUCGCUUAUGGAUGGACCCGCGGCGUAUUAGUUAGUUGGUGAGGUAACGGCUCACCAAGACGAUGAUACGUAGCCGACCUGAGAGGGUGAUCGGCCACAUUGGGACUGAGACACGGCCCAACUCCUACGGGAGGCAGCAGUAGGGAAUCUUCCGCAAUGGACGAAAGUCUGACGGAGCAACGCCGCGUGAGUGAAGAAGGUUUCGGACCGUAAACUCUGUUGUCAGAGAAGAACAAGUUGGAGAGUAACUGCUCCAGCCUUGACGGUAUCUGACCAGAAAGCCACGGCUAACUACGUGCCAGCCGCCGC